UGGAACAGGGAGUGCCUCGGGAGCAGGAGACAGGUGCUGCAUGGCUGUCGUCAGCUCGUGUCGCGAGAUGUUGGGUUAAGUCCCGCAACGAGCGCAACCCCUAUGUUAGUUGCCAUCAUUCAGUUGGGCACUCUAGCGAGACUGCCGGUAAUAAACCGGAGGAAGGUGGGAUGACGUCAAAUCAUCAUGCCCCUUAUGACCUGGGCUACACACGUGCUACAAUGGUUGGUACAACGAGUUGCGAGUCGGUGACGGCGAGCUAAUCUCUUAAAGCCAAUCUCAGUUCGGAUUGUAGGCUGCAACUCGCCUACAUGAAGUCGGAAUCGCUAGUAAUCGCGGAUCAGCACGCCCGCGGUCGAAUACGUUCCCGGGCCUU
RNAcentral lists this ribosomal RNA (376 nucleotides) under uncultured Streptococcus sp. RNAcentral describes it as "bacterial SSU rRNA". It matches the Rfam family "Bacterial small subunit ribosomal RNA", at positions 1001 to 1382 of the family's 1533-position model. The record is from RNAcentral. Lineage: Bacteria; Bacillati; Bacillota; Bacilli; Lactobacillales; Streptococcaceae.